UACGUAGGGGGCAAGCGUUAUCCGGAUUCAUUGGGUUUAAAGGGAGCGUAGGUGGCCUUAUAAGUCAGUGGUGAAAUCCUGUUGCUUAACAACAGAAUUGCCAUUGAUACUGUAGGGCUUGAGUACAGAUGCCGUUGGCGGAAUAUGACAUGUAGUGGUGAAAUACAUAGAGAUGUCAUAGAACACCGAUUGCGAAGGCAGCUGACGAAACUGUAACUGACACUGAGGCUCGAAAGUGCGGGGAUCAAACAGG
This 253-nucleotide ribosomal RNA is filed under the name uncultured bacterium. Its description in RNAcentral is "partial 16S ribosomal RNA". It matches the Rfam family "Bacterial small subunit ribosomal RNA", at positions 524 to 776 of the family's 1533-position model. The record is from RNAcentral.